GGGCGCUUAGCUCAGCUGGGAGAGCAUCGGCCUUACAAGCCGGAGGUCGCAGGUUCAAUCCCUGCAGCGCCUACCA
RNAcentral lists this transfer RNA (76 nucleotides) under bacterium. RNAcentral's name for it is "tRNA-Val". It matches the Rfam family "tRNA". Rfam says of the family: Transfer RNA (tRNA) molecules are approximately 80 nucleotides in length. Their secondary structure includes four short double-helical elements and three loops (D, anti-codon, and T loops). The record is from RNAcentral.